Molecule: transfer RNA, 69 nt
Filed under: Ochotona nigritia (black pika)
Lineage: Eukaryota; Metazoa; Chordata; Mammalia; Lagomorpha; Ochotonidae
Description: tRNA-His
Rfam family: tRNA
About the family: Transfer RNA (tRNA) molecules are approximately 80 nucleotides in length. Their secondary structure includes four short double-helical elements and three loops (D, anti-codon, and T loops). Further hydrogen bonds mediate the characteristic L-shaped molecular structure. tRNAs have two regions of fundamental functional importance: the anti-codon, which is responsible for specific mRNA codon recognition, and the 3' end, to which the tRNAs corresponding amino acid is attached (by aminoacyl-tRNA synthetases). tRNAs cope with the degeneracy of the genetic code in two manners: having more than one tRNA (with a specific anti-codon) for a particular amino acid; and 'wobble' base-pairing, i.e. permitting non-standard base-pairing at the 3rd anti-codon position.
Source: RNAcentral
GUAAAUAUAGUUUAAACAAAACACUAGAUUGUGAAUCUAACAAUAGAGGCUAGUACCCUCUUAUUUACC